RNAcentral lists this ribosomal RNA (253 nucleotides) under uncultured bacterium. Its description in RNAcentral is "partial 16S ribosomal RNA". It matches the Rfam family "Bacterial small subunit ribosomal RNA", at positions 524 to 776 of the family's 1533-position model. The record is from RNAcentral.
UACGUAGGGUCCGAGCGUUGUCCGGAAUUAUUGGGCGUAAAGGGCUCGUAGGCGGUUUGUCGCGUCGGGAGUGAAAACGCCGGGCUUAACCCGGUGCUUGCUUUCGAUACGGGCAGACUGGAGGUAUGCAGGGGAGAACGGAAUUCCUGGUGUAGCGGUGAAAUGCGCAGAUAUCAGGAAGAACACCAAUGGCGAAAGCAGCUUUCUGGGACGGUACUGACGCUGAGACGCGAAAGCGUGGGGAGCGAACAGG